CUUGACUGUAUCCUGGAAUUGGGUUCGGGCUUUUCUUGCGCAGCCUAGGUGGGAGGCUAUGAAGAUUUCCUUCCGGGGAAGUUGGAGCCAUCAGUGAGAGACCACUCUGGAGAGGCUAGAAUCCUAAUGGUGAUCCUUGAAUCAGGACACUUGACAGUUUCAGGUGGGCAGUUUUUCUGGGGCGGAAGCCUCAUAAAGGGUAACUGAGGCGCGCAAAGGUCCCCUCAGUCUGGACGGAAAUCAGACAACGAGUGUAAAGGCAAAAGGGGGCUUGACUGCAAGACCUACAAGUCGAGCAGGAGCGAAAGCUGGCCUUAGUGAUCCGACGGUACUGAGUGGAAAGGCCGUCACUCAACGGACAAAAGUUA
RNAcentral lists this ribosomal RNA (368 nucleotides) under uncultured organism. Its description in RNAcentral is "bacterial LSU rRNA". It matches the Rfam family "Bacterial large subunit ribosomal RNA", at positions 2099 to 2465 of the family's 2925-position model. The record is from RNAcentral.